UACGUAGGGGGCAAGCGUUGUCCGGAUUUACUGGGCGUAAAGAGCGCGUAGGCGGAAGGUUAAGCGUGGCUUGAAAGCCCCCGGCUCAACCGGGGAGGGGGGCUGCGAACUGGCCUUCUUGAGGGCGACAGAGGAGUGUGGAAUUCCUGGUGUAGCGGUGAAAUGCGUAGAUAUCAGGAGGAACACCGGUGGCGAAGGCGGCACUCUGGGUCGGCCCUGACGCUGAGGCGCGAAAGCUAGGGGAGCAAACGGG
Molecule: ribosomal RNA, 253 nt
Filed under: uncultured bacterium
Lineage: Bacteria
Description: partial 16S ribosomal RNA
Rfam family: Bacterial small subunit ribosomal RNA
Source: RNAcentral